Hordeum vulgare subsp. vulgare (domesticated barley) is the source of this 2304-nucleotide long non-coding RNA. RefSeq lists it as uncharacterized. NCBI's taxonomy places the organism in Eukaryota, Viridiplantae, Streptophyta, Magnoliopsida, Poales, Poaceae. The transcript has 2 exons. The record is from RefSeq and is a predicted model, not a curated record.
GGGAGGAGGUGAUCAGAGUGAUGCUCGGUUAGGGUUUCGUCGCCGCCGACGGAUGCAUCCACCGACGGAGCGACGGUGGCCAGAGGGUUCAUCGACGACUUGAACCAUGUCACCUCGUCGUCGAGUAGAAGGAGAUCCAGCGCCUGUGUAUGAUGAAAUUGCUAUGCCUCAAAUGCCUCAAACUUCAAUCUUUGCAUCAAUUUUGGUGGUUAUUUCCUUGGAGUUGGUAAAAACUGUGCAUAUGUGAAUGGAGAAAACGUGUGGUAUGAUUAUGUCGAAGGGGAUACACUUACUGUGGUGAAGUUAGAAGAUCUGGUUGAACAACUGGGCUAUGAAGUGAAGGGAAGAUGCACAUGUAUUACUGUGUGCCUGGUAAACCAAUGACUGAAGGUGGUCUUGUGAAGAUAACUUGCAAUGAUGACUGUCUGAACACGAGGGAACAUGUAACAUUUGGACACAAGUAUUUGCAAAUGUAUCUUGAUCAUGAUGACAACUUCACGCAGUUUGACUGGGAUGAUGUGAUAGAGUUUCCUGUAGCAGACUCGCCUACUGUUGUUAGUCCUAUCAAACCAAUUCAGAUCAGUAAGGAGGGAGCACUAGAGAAGCAUAACUAGGAGAUUCAGAAAGAUUUAUUGGAUAGAAAAAAUUUAAGGAGGAAGCAGUGCAAAAUAUGCAGUGUAAGUUCGUCACUCAUGUGACCAUUGCAGAUGAUGCAGACCAAGCAGAAGAAGAACAAGGAAUAGGUGGAGAUCAAGCUGUAGAUCAAACAGUAGAAGAAGAAAAUGCACAACAAGCAGUAGAAGAAGAAAAUGCACAACAAGCAGGAGAAGAAGCAAUUGCAUAUGUGGAGGAGCGGUGUGAAGAGGAUAGUGAGGGAGAAGUUUCUGAUGCUGAAGUAAUUGGGAGUGAACAAGGAUCAGCCUAUGCUCAUGAUAUUGUAGAUAGUGAUUAUGAUGUGAGUGAUUUAGAUGAUGAUCUUAAAGAGGGCACAGUGGAGGAGCCUGCUGAUGUUCAUAGUAGAGCGAAGCCAGGCCCUGUACAAGGAUCUGAUGAAGAAGAACUUGAGCUACCAGAUUCUGAUGAUGAAGCAGCUGCAAGGUAUAAAUUUACAAGCUUUAGGAAAGAAGAUUUGCAUGAUCCACAAUUCAAAAUUGGACGGGUUUUCUAGUCACCAGAAAUGUUUAGACAAGCAGUGAGAGAAUAUGCUUGCAAAAACAGAAUUGACAUCAAAUUGCCAGUAAAUGACAGGAAAAGAAUUUCAGCAAAAUGUCAGCGUCACGGCCCGUGGAACAUUUGUUAUAGUUACGAUAGCAGAACAAAAUGCAUGGUCAUCAAGAGUUAAAAUGAUGAGCACAAAUGUUCUAAGAAGUGGAAAGUAAAGGCGUUUACUUCUAGAUAUCUUGCAGAAGAGUACUUGGAGUACUUCAGGGCAGAUCAAGGAAUGAACUUGAGAAAUUUUGGGAGGUUAGUGCAAAAGGACUGGAAUAUGAGAGUUUCUUGUAGUAAACUAAGCAGAGCAAGGAGAUAUGCAUUGAAGAUAAUCCACGGAGAUGUUGAGGCACAGUACAACAUGCUUUGGGAUUAUGCAAAUGAAGUUAUAAGAUCCAAACCUAGCAGCACAUUUUUCAUUCAAUUAGACAAUGAAUCAAGGUUCAAGAGAUGCUACUUCGGUUUUGAUGCAUGUAAAAGAGGAUUCCUUGUAGGGUGUAGGCCCAUAAUUUGCUUUGAUGGUUGUCAUUUGAAAACUAAGUAUGGAGGUGUGCUUCUGUCUGCAGUGGGCAUGGACCCUAAUGAUUGUAUCUAUCAUAUUGCACACUAUGUUGUAGGUGUUGAAGAUAAUAACACUUGGAGCUGGUUUCUGAGCACACUGAGCAAGUUCUUGGGAUUCAAAACACCUCAGCAUGGAUUGUCAUGUGUGAUAAGCAAAAUGGCCUAAUAAAUGUUGUAGAGUAGCAUUUUCCUCACUCAAAACACAGAUUCUGUGUCAGGCACCUUUGGUAGAAUUUCAGAGAGAAAUACAGAGGAGAUGUUUUGAAAACAAGCUCUCGAAGAUAACUAGGUGCGCAACAGUUGAUCAGUAUGAAGAAUAUAUGGAAGAAAUGGUUUUGUUCUUUUUUGUCAGUGUUCAGCGGUCAAAUGAAUGUUAUGAAAUCCAAAAUGUGUGUUCAGUCCAGGCCAUGCAAUAACAUCACUUUGCAACAAGAGGGGAAUCGGCUGUAGACGUGGGAAAUGAGAGGAGAAUUGGCUCACAAUAAACCCUUGAUGUAUCAUGUCCAGUUCGUGAGUCAAAGUGUUUUUUGGUCA